This 459-nucleotide ribosomal RNA is filed under the name uncultured bacterium. RNAcentral's name for it is "partial 16S ribosomal RNA". It matches the Rfam family "Bacterial small subunit ribosomal RNA", at positions 338 to 795 of the family's 1533-position model. The record is from RNAcentral.
CCUACGGGUGGCAGCAGUGAGGAAUAUUGGUCAAUGGCCGGAAGCCUGAACCAGCCAAGUCGCGUGCGGGAGGACGGCGCUGCGCGUCGCAGACCUCUUUUGCCGGGGGAUAACAGGCCGGACUCGUCCGGCCCUGCGGGUACCCGGAGAAAAAGCAUCGGCUAACUCCGUGCCAGCAGCCGCGGUAAUACGGAGGAUGCGGGCGUUAUCCGGAUUCAUUGGGUUUAAAGGGUGCGAAGGCGGGCCUUUAAGCCGGCGGUGAAAUCGCGGGGCUCAACCCCGCCGUGCCGGCGGAACUGGGGGGCUUGAGGGCGGCGAAGGCAGGCGGAAUGCGCGGUGUAGCGGUGAAAUGCAUAGAUAUCGCGCAGAACCCCGAUUGCGAAGGCAGCGUGCUGUGGCGGAACUGACGCUGAUGCACGAAAGCGCGGGUAUCGAACAGGAUUAGAUACCCUAGUAGUC